This 468-nucleotide ribosomal RNA is filed under the name uncultured bacterium. RNAcentral's name for it is "partial 16S ribosomal RNA". It matches the Rfam family "Bacterial small subunit ribosomal RNA", at positions 28 to 507 of the family's 1533-position model. The record is from RNAcentral.
GACGAACGCUGGCGGCGUGCUUAACACAUGCAAGUCGAACGGAAAGGCCCUGCUUUUGUGGGGUGCUCGAGUGGCGAACGGGUGAGUAACACGUGAGUAACCUGCCCUUGACUUUGGGAUAACUUCAGGAAACUGGGGCUAAUACCGGAUAGGAGCUCCUGCUGCAUGGUGGGGGUUGGAAAGUUUCGGCGGUUGGGGAUGGACUCGCGGCUUAUCAGCUUGUUGGUGGGGUAGUGGCUUACCAAGGCUUUGACGGGUAGCCGGCCUGGGAGGGUGACCGGCCACAUUGGGACUGCGGUACGGCCCAGACUCCUACGGGAGGCAACGGUGGGGAAUAUUGCACAGUGGGCGGAAGCCUGAUGCGGCAGCGCCGCGUGCGGGAUGACGGCCUUCGGGUUAUAAACCGCUUUCGCCUGUGACGAAGCGUGAGUGACGGUAAUGGGUAAAGAAGCACCGGCUAACUACGUG